This 583-nucleotide ribosomal RNA is filed under the name uncultured bacterium. RNAcentral describes it as "bacterial SSU rRNA". It matches the Rfam family "Bacterial small subunit ribosomal RNA", at positions 8 to 630 of the family's 1533-position model. The record is from RNAcentral.
AGACUUUGAUCAUGGCUCAGAACGAACGCUGGCGGCAGGCCUAACACAUGCAAGUCGAGCGCACCUUUUCGGAGGUGAGCGGCGCACGGGUGAGUAACGCGUGGGAACCUACCCUGGGGUAGGGGAUAACCGCUGGAAACGGCGGCUAAUACCCUAUACGUCCUUCGGGAGAAAGAUUUAUCGCCCUGGGAUGGGCCCGCGUCGGAUUAGCUAGUUGGUGGGGUAAAGGCUCACCAAGGCGACGAUCCGUAGCUGGUCUGAGAGGAUGAUCAGCCACACUGGGACUGAGACACGGCCCAGACUCCUACGUGGGGGCACGCAGUGGGGAAUAUUGGACAAUGGGCUGCAAGCCUGAUCCAGCCAUGCCGCGUGAGUGAAGAAGGCCUUAGGGUUGUAAAGCUCUUUCACCCGCGAAGAUGAUGACGGUAGCGGGAGAAGAAGCCCCGGCUAACUCCGUGCCAGCAGCCGCGGUAACUACGGAGGGGGCAAGCGUUGUUCGGAUUUACUGGGCGUAACAGGGCGCGUACGCGGAUGUUCGCGUCAGAGGUGAAAGCCCCGGGCUCAACCUGGGAACUGCCUUUGA